GCGGAGAUGGCGGAAUUGGUAUACGCGACAGUUUGAGGGGCUGUUGGGCGCAAGCCUGUGAGGGUUCAAGUCCCUCUCUCCGCACCA
RNAcentral lists this transfer RNA (87 nucleotides) under Candidatus Omnitrophota bacterium. RNAcentral's name for it is "Candidatus Omnitrophica bacterium tRNA-Leu". It matches the Rfam family "tRNA". Rfam says of the family: Transfer RNA (tRNA) molecules are approximately 80 nucleotides in length. Their secondary structure includes four short double-helical elements and three loops (D, anti-codon, and T loops). Lineage: Bacteria; Pseudomonadati; Candidatus Omnitrophota. The record is from RNAcentral.